Molecule: ribosomal RNA, 492 nt
Filed under: uncultured bacterium
Lineage: Bacteria
Description: partial 16S ribosomal RNA
Rfam family: Bacterial small subunit ribosomal RNA
Source: RNAcentral
AGUGAACGCUGGCGGUAGGCCUAACACAUGCAAGUCGAACGGCAGCACAGUAAGAGCUUGCUCUUACGGGUGGCGAGUGGCGGACGGGUGAGGAAUACAUCGGAAUCUACUUUUUCGUGGGGGAUAACGUAGGGAAACUUACGCUAAUACCGCAUACGACCUACGGGUGGAAGCAGGGGAUCUUCGGACCUUGCGCGAUUGAAUGAGCCGAUGUCGGAUUAGCUAGUUGGCGGGGUAAAGGCCCACCAAGGCGACGAUCCGUAGCUGGUCUGAGGGGAUGAUCAGCCACACUGGAACUGAGACACGGUCCAGACUCCUACGGGAGGCAGCAGUGGGGAAUAUUGGACAAUGGGCGCAAGCCUGAUCCAGCCAUACCGCGUGGGUGAAGAAGGCCUUCGGGUUGUAAAGCCCUUUUGUUGGGAAAGAAAAGCAGCAGGUUAAUACCCCGCUGUUCUGACGGUACCCAAAGAAUAAGCACCGGCUAACUUCGUG